Molecule: long non-coding RNA, 933 nt
Organism: Lingula anatina
Lineage: Eukaryota; Metazoa; Brachiopoda; Lingulata; Lingulida; Lingulidae
Source: RefSeq, a predicted model, not a curated record
ACAACAACAACAACCCCCUCUACAACUCCCCGCAGUACAACAUCCACACCCAAACCUACUCCACCAGUGAGCACGGAGAAAAGCAGUCCAUCGACUUCUUCUACCAGAAGCAUCACUCCCACGACCCCAGCUAGGACAAGUAGCACCACCACCAGUUCUAAUUCUAUCAGUACCACCACAAAGGCGACACCUCCGAGCACCACAGGUCCACGUCCAACUGGUGCCCCAGUUUCCACCACGGUCUCUCCGGGUACCGUUACACCACAGGGAGUUUCUGCUCCAGCUGGCGGUAAUUUUGGAGUGGAUACAGUAACAGGCAUUAUCAUUGGCGCUGCAGCCGUGGUGUUCGUCAUCUUGCUUACCACCUCAAUUUGUAUUAUACAAAGACAGCGCAAGGCAUGGUUCGUUCUGGACGAGAAGACGGAUUUUGAACUUGCCGACGUUCAUCGAGGCGACGUGGGCUUUGAUAACCCCGUAUAUGAUGAAUCGGCUUCGGCCAGCGUGUUCGGUGAUCCAACAAAGUUGGCGGACACGUCAUAUGGAUUCAGUAACCCUGGAUACGGCGAUGCUUUUGGUGGUGACAGCACCAUUUGACUAACACUGACCACUGUCAUACUUUAAUUGUGAUCAAAAUGACUAACAAGAUUUUGGAACAGUGAACUGAGUCACUUGGAGUUCAAAUCGGCGCUAAUUUAAUGUAAAGUUAGAAUAAAUUCGUUAUUGUGUAUUUCUGCGAAUUAAAAAAAGAAAAGUAAAAUGAAAGAAAUCUACAAUAAAAUGACAACAUGACAACCGAUGAAAUAAAAUGAAACAGAAUAUAUUUUUUACACUUGUUAUACACUUUCUUUAAUUUUCUUGCACCAAUUACUAUAACGCAAAGAUUAAUAUUUCGCAAGGAUGAUAACAUCUGUUGCGAAUAAGUUACCUUUUUUA